CGGAACGGGGCGGGGCCAGCGGCGCCCUCAGGGCUCCGGCCGAGGCCCGCAAGGGCUCGGCUGCGGCUCCGUAAGCACAGCCGGCGGUAACGACCCGCAUCCACGCCUCGGAACGCAGCAAACAAGCUCAUUUAAAAAGAAAGGAUGGCAAUAUUGUUAAGAGAGGGUUACUCUGACUAAAAGAAGGUGUCCUUAAGAAGUAUAAUUAAAGCACUUGUUUCAAGUGUCUCUGACAAGCAUUGAGUGAAACAAAUCCUCUUGAGAAUGACCUGCAUCCACAAGGACUGAGUGAGAAUUUCGACUGCAAGAUUUGUAAGGCUUCUGUGGUUACAAUAAGCUUGCAAGCUGUUAUCCCUCUCCUCUCCAUUCCUCAUAGGGGGUUUUGGAAGGAGACUGGAAUGACUUGAGAAUUCAUUUCCAAAGACAACAGCUUUUGAGAAGACAUGAAUUUAAACCACCUCUCUAGAUACUAAAUACUGUUUAAAUCUGUAGGAUACACUGACAAAAAUUUGACACUGAAAUAAAUACGCUUUUAACCAAGAAACUUUCUACCUUGUGACAGUUUUAGUUGAUGAAGUGCCUAUUCACAAUGUACUUCAGUAUUUUUCAGUCAAUACAGACAUUUCAGCAGACAGCAUCAGUGAAGCUGACAUGACCAGGCAACACCACCUUCUCCUGGCCCAUGACACACCUGCAGCUCCUUCACAAAAGAUUCCAUUACUACCGCGUGUAAUCUAACCUCGAGGUGUGACACAAAUAACUGCUGGAAGUUUUAAACUCUCGUUAGAGCAUUCAGGGUAUGAUGCAACAAAGCUGCUGAAACAGACACAGGCUCUAAUAUCCUAGUGGGCUGCAGUCUGGAGUGUAGCUGCUGUCUCUCUGUACAACGUUCCUCUCAGCAACUGGGGCUGUUCUUCAUUUGUUUACUGAAGAACGUGGCUCUGCCAUAUUACACCGAGCAAGAACAUUCAAGCAAAUCCAGAGUCUACUCACACCAGUUUUUAAUGACACUUUCUCCAGAAUCUCUUUGCCACUUCUGAAUUUACCCCGUUGCAGAAAUCAUCAGGAAAUGUCACAUCGAGGCCACUGGCCCCAAUAUCCCUAUUUCAGCUGUGCACAGCAAUAAUGAGAUAGAGCAAGAUGCAAACCUGAUGGCGUGGAUGCAAGGUAACUUGGCAUUGAUAUUAUCUCUGUUGUGUGAAUACAUCCUGCCUAUCAAUCUCCUUGAAACUCUGAUACAGAAACUACUGCAACAAAAGGACUUUGAUCUUGAGAUGAAAGUAUCUGAACUGCAGACUUGAGUAAACCUCCAGAGACAUGAGCAGUUUUCCCUCACCUGACAUCCAUAUGCUCUCAGAGUCUACGCAGGUAUCACUGGAGACAGUGGAUUAAUUGUUACUUGAGAGUUAAAUUGUGGAGCUGACAGCAGCUGGAUGUCUACUGAAACAAGCAGCCAUCUGCAGGGGGCAUGAGGCUUUGCCCAGCACGGCUGUGCCCUCAGUGCCACAUUCCCCCAGUUUGUGUCCCCUAUUACAAUGCAGACAACACAGGGUUUGUGUGUCACACCCUCCAGCAGGCUGUCAUCAGGACUGUUAGUGUUUUCAUCUGGUUUUCUUAAGACCCAAGUUUAUGGUUUCUACUUUAUUACUGCAUUCACAAAUGCUUUUGACGAAAGGAUCAUCAUCUUGUUUGACAGCAGAAUUGUGCUGAUGUUAAAAUGGCUAAUUUUUAUCUGGAUGGGAGGGAAAAAACUUGCACCGAUGCGGUCUUCAUUUCUUUACCAAAGUAGUUUAGAACUGUAGUGAGUAGGGAUUCAGCAUUUUCCCAUCACUGCUUUUCUUUCAAAUGAAAACCCAAUCCAAGUGAUAUUUCAGCACUUAACUUGUUCCACAUUUUAAUUAAAACACUUUAGAAGACUUA
Melospiza melodia melodia is the source of this 1920-nucleotide long non-coding RNA. RefSeq lists it as uncharacterized. The record is from RefSeq and is a predicted model, not a curated record. The transcript is spliced from 5 exons. Lineage: Eukaryota; Metazoa; Chordata; Aves; Passeriformes; Passerellidae.